GACGAACGCUGGCGGCAGGCUUAACACAUGCAAGUCGAGCGCCCCGCAAGGGGAGCGGCAGACGGGUGAGUAACGCGUGGGAAUCUACCGUGCCCUAAGGAAUAGCUCCGGGAAACUGGAAUUAAUACCUUAUACGCCCUUUGGGGGAAAGAUUUAUCGGGGUAUGAUGAGCCCGCGUUGGAUUAGCUAGUUGGUGGGGUAAAGGCCUACCAAGGCGACGAUCCAUAGCUGGUCUGAGAGGAUGAUCAGCCACAUUGGGACUGAGACACGGCCCAAACUCCUACGGGAGGCAGCAGUGGGGAAUAUUGGACAAUGGGCGCAAGCCUGAUCCAGCCAUGCCGCGUGAGUGAUGAAGGCCCUAGGGUUGUAAAGCUCUUUCACCGGUGAAGAUAAUGACGGUAACCGGAGAAGAAGCCCCGGCUAACUUCGUGCCAGCAGCCGCCGUAA
This 447-nucleotide ribosomal RNA is filed under the name uncultured bacterium. Its description in RNAcentral is "partial 16S ribosomal RNA". It matches the Rfam family "Bacterial small subunit ribosomal RNA", at positions 28 to 523 of the family's 1533-position model. The record is from RNAcentral.